RNAcentral lists this transfer RNA (27 nucleotides) under Synodontis sp. TT-2020. RNAcentral's name for it is "partial tRNA-Pro". Lineage: Eukaryota; Metazoa; Chordata; Actinopteri; Siluriformes; Mochokidae. The record is from RNAcentral.
CAGAAAAUAGUUUAGUUUAGAAUCCUA